Molecule: small nuclear RNA, 107 nt
Organism: Vulpes vulpes (red fox)
Lineage: Eukaryota; Metazoa; Chordata; Mammalia; Carnivora; Canidae
Source: Ensembl
GUACUUGCUUUGGCAGCACAGAUACUAAUAUUGGAAUGAUGCAGAGAAGAUUAGCAUGGCCCCUGUGCAAGGAUGACAUGGAAAUUCGCGAAGCGUUCCAUAUUUUU